AAUUGGCUUGAGGCAGUCAAGCGUUCAUAGCGACGUUGCUUUUGAUCCUUUGAUGUCGGCUCUUCCUAUCAUACUGAAGCAGAAUUCAGUAAGCGUUGGAUGGUUCACUCGCUAAUAGGGAACAAGACCUGGGGUUUAGACCGUCAAAAGGCAGUUU
Molecule: non-coding RNA, 157 nt
Filed under: Linnemannia elongata AG-77
Lineage: Eukaryota; Fungi; Mortierellomycota; Mortierellomycetes; Mortierellales; Mortierellaceae
Description: Mortierella elongata AG-77 Eukaryotic large subunit ribosomal RNA
Rfam family: Eukaryotic large subunit ribosomal RNA
Source: Rfam by way of RNAcentral